GAUUUGAAGACCUUAAAUCCGAAGAACUAGGCCAAGGUGAAGCCAUUGCGCACAAUUUAAGGACUAUGUUUGGUUUGAAGGUACCCAUUGUUUCUAUUGUCAAUGGGGAAGGUGGCUCUGGUGGUGCACUUGCCAUUGGCUGUGCUAAUAAAUUGCUAAUGCUCGAAAAUGCAGUAUUCUAUGUUGCCGGUCCGGAGGCAAGUGC
Juglans microcarpa x Juglans regia is the source of this 205-nucleotide long non-coding RNA. RefSeq lists it as uncharacterized. The transcript is spliced from 3 exons. The record is from RefSeq and is a predicted model, not a curated record. Lineage: Eukaryota; Viridiplantae; Streptophyta; Magnoliopsida; Fagales; Juglandaceae.